AUCAACUUUCGUUGGUAGGAUAGAGGCCUACCAUGGUGGUAACGGGUAACGGGGAAUUAGGGUUCGAUUCCGGCGAGGGAGCCUGAGAAACGGCUACCACAUCCAAGGAAGGCAGCAGGCGCGCAAAUUACCCAAUCCCGACACGGGGAGGUAGUGACAAUAAAUAACAAUACGGGGCUCUUUCGGGUCUCGUAAUUGGAAUGAGUACAAUUUAAAUCCCUUAGCGAGGAACAAUUGGAGGGCAAGUCUGGUGCCAGCAGCCGCGGUAAUUCCAGCUCCAAUAGCGUAUAUUAAAGUUGUUGCAGUUAAAAAGCUCGUAGUUGAAUUUCGGGAUUGACACAUCGGUCGUGCCUUAAGGGGUAUGAACUGGUGUAGUCAAUUUCUCACCUUCUGGAGAACCGCGAUGCCCUUAAUUGGGUGUCGCGGGGAACCAGGACCUUUACUUUGAAAAAAUUAGAGUGUUUAAAGCAGGCAUUUUGCUUGAAUACAUUAGCAUGGAAUAAUAAAAUAGGACGGCAUGAUUCUAUUUUGUUGGUUUCUAGGAUCACCGUAAUGAUUAAUAGGGAUAGUUGGGGGCAUUAGUAUUCAAUUGUCAGAGGUGAAAUUCUUGGAUUUAUUGAAGACUAACUACUGCGAAAGCAUUUGCCAAGGAUGUUUUCAUUAAUCAAGAACGAAAGUUAGGGGAUCGAAGACGAUCAGAUACCGUCGUAGUCUUAACCAUAAACUAUGCCGACUAGGAAUCAGACGAUGUUAAUUUUUUAAUGACUCGUUUGGCACCUUACGGGAAACCAAAGUGUUUGGGUUC
Molecule: ribosomal RNA, 805 nt
Filed under: uncultured Entrophospora
Lineage: Eukaryota; Fungi; Glomeromycota; Glomeromycetes; Entrophosporales; Entrophosporaceae
Description: SSU rRNA
Rfam family: Eukaryotic small subunit ribosomal RNA
Source: RNAcentral